ACACUAUCAUUAACUGAAUCCAUAGGUUAAUGAGGCGAACCGGGGGAACUGAAACAUCUAAGUACCCCGAGGAAAAGAAAUCAACCGAGAUUCCCCCAGUAGCGGCGAGCGAACGGGGAGGAGCCCAGAGCCUGAAUCAGUGUGUGUGUUAGUGGAAGCGUCUGGAAAGGCGUGCGAUACAGGGUGACAGCCCCGUACACAAAAAUGCACAUAUUGUGAGCUCGAUGAGUAGGGCGGGACACGUGGUAUCCUGUCUGAAUAUGGGGGGACCAUCCUCCAAGGCUAAAUACUCCUGACUGACCGAUAGUGAACCAGUACCGUGAGGGAAAGGCGAAAAGAACCCCGGCGAGGGGAGUGAAAAAGAACCUGAAACCGUGUACGUACAAGCAGUGGGAGCCUCUUUAUGGGGUGACUGCGUACCUUUUGUAUAAUGGGUCAGCGACUUAUAUUCUGUAGCAAGGUUAACCGAAUAGGGGAGCCGAAGGGAAACCGAGUCUUAACUGGGCGUUAAGUUGCAGGGUAUAGACCCGAAACCCGGUGAUCUAGCCAUGGGCAGGUUGAAGGUUGGGUAACACUAACUGGAGGACCGAACCGACUAAUGUUGAAAAAUUAGCGGAUGACUUGUGGCUGGGGGUGAAAGGCCAAUCAAACCGGGAGAUAGCUGGUUCUCCCCGAAAGCUAUUUAGGUAGCGCCUCGUGAAUUCAUCUCCGGGGGUAGAGCACUGUUUCGGCAAGGGGGUCAUCCCGACUUACCAACCCGAUGCAAACUGCGAAUACCGGAGAAUGUUAUCACGGGAGACACACGGCGGGUGCUAACGUCCGUCGUGAAGAGGGAAACAACCCAGACCGCCAGCUAAGGUCCCAAAGUCAUGGUUAAGUGGGAAACGAUGUGGGAAGGCCCAGACAGCCAGGAUGUUGGCUUAGAAGCAGCCAUCAUUUAAAGAAAGCGUAAUAGCUCACUGGUCGAGUCGGCCUGCGCGGAAGAUGUAACGGGGCUAAACCAUGCACCGAAGCUGCGGCAGCGACACUAUGUGUUGUUGGGUAGGGGAGCGUUCUGUAAGCCUGUGAAGGUGGCCUGUGAGGGUUGCUGGAGGUAUCAGAAGUGCGAAUGCUGACAUAAGUAACGAUAAAGCGGGUGAAAAGCCCGCUCGCCGGAAGACCAAGGGUUCCUGUCCAACGUUAAUCGGGGCAGGGUGAGUCGACCCCUAAGGCGAGGCCGAAAGGCGUAGUCGAUGGGAAACAGGUUAAUAUUCCUGUACUUGGUGUUACUGCGAAGGGGGGACGGAGAAGGCUAUGUUGGCCGGGCGACGGUUGUCCCGGUUUAAGCGUGUAGGCUGGUUUUCCAGGCAAAUCCGGAAAACCAAGGCUGAGGCGUGAUGACGAGGCACUACGGUGCUGAAGCGACAAAUGCCCUGCUUCCAGGAAAAGCCUCUAAGCAUCAGGUAACAUCAAAUCGUACCCCAAACCGACACAGGUGGUCAGGUAGAGAAUACCAAGGCGCUUGAGAGAACUCGGGUGAAGGAACUAGGCAAAAUGGUGCCGUAACUUCGGGAGAAGGCACGCUGAUAUGUAGGUGAAGCGACUUGCUCGUGGAGCUGAAAUCAGUCGAAGAUACCAGCUGGCUGCAACUGUUUAUUAAAAACACAGCACUGUGCAAACACGAAAGUGGACGUAUACGGUGUGACGCCUGCCCGGUGCCGGAAGGUUAAUUGAUGGGGUUAGCGGUAACGCGAAGCUCUUGAUCGAAGCCCCGGUAAACGGCGGCCGUAACUAUAACGGUCCUAAGGUAGCGAAAUUCCUUGUCGGGUAAGUUCCGACCUGCACGAAUGGCGUAAUGAUGGCCAGGCUGUCUCCACCCGAGACUCAGUGAAAUUGAACUCGCUGUGAAGAUGCAGUGUACCCGCGGCAAGACGGAAAGACCCCGUGAACCUUUACUAUAGCUUGACACUGAACAUUGAGCCUUGAUGUGUAGGAUAGGUGGGAGGCUUUGAAGUGUGGACGCCAGUCUGCAUGGAGCCGACCUUGAAAUACCACCCUUUAAUGUUUGAUGUUCUAACGUUGGCCCGUAAUCCGGGUUGCGGACAGUGUCUGGUGGGUAGUUUGACUGGGGCGGUCUCCUCCUAAAGAGUAACGGAGGAGCACGAAGGUUGGCUAAUCCUGGUCGGACAUCAGGAGGUUAGUGCAAUGGCAUAAGCCAGCUUGACUGCGAGCGUGACGGCGCGAGCAGGUGCGAAAGCAGGUCAUAGUGAUCCGGUGGUUCUGAAUGGAAGGGCCAUCGCUCAACGGAUAAAAGGUACUCCGGGGAUAACAGGCUGAUACCGCCCAAGAGUUCAUAUCGACGGCGGUGUUUGGCACCUCGAUGUCGGCUCAUCACAUCCUGGGGCUGAAGUAGGUCCCAAGGGUAUGGCUGUUCGCCAUUUAAAGUGGUACGCGAGCUGGGUUUAGAACGUCGUGAGACAGUUCGGUCCCUAUCUGCCGUGGGCGCUGGAGAACUGAGGGGGGCUGCUCCUAGUACGAGAGGACCGGAGUGGACGCAUCACUGGUGUUCGGGUUGUCAUGCCAAUGGCACUGCCCGGUAGCUAAAUGCGGAAGAGAUAAGUGCUGAAAGCAUCUAAGCACGAAACUUGCCCCGAGAUGAGUUCUCCCUGA
Molecule: ribosomal RNA, 2649 nt
Filed under: Escherichia coli
Lineage: Bacteria; Pseudomonadati; Pseudomonadota; Gammaproteobacteria; Enterobacterales; Enterobacteriaceae
Description: bacterial LSU rRNA
Rfam family: Bacterial large subunit ribosomal RNA
Source: RNAcentral